CGAAGCGUUGGCUCAGGUUGAGAUCGGGCUCGGCAAGAACGGGCGGCGAGCCUACGAGCUCGACGAGAUCGGGAUCGUGCCCGCGCGUCGU
RNAcentral lists this transfer RNA (91 nucleotides) under Nocardiopsis ansamitocini. RNAcentral's name for it is "tRNA-Leu". Lineage: Bacteria; Bacillati; Actinomycetota; Actinomycetes; Streptosporangiales; Nocardiopsidaceae. The record is from RNAcentral.